GUGCAAGUUCAAUAGAAUCAACUGUGUUCUUUGCAUAAACAGUUGAAGAAAAAUCUUACCAUCCUAUGUGUAUGUGUGAGUGGGCAUGCAUAUUACUAGAAUCAGAUGCACCAUGGGAAAGGACAUGUGCAGUGGACAAAGGUUUUCAUAACCUGAGCUUGUCGAUCGAAACAGAAAACUGCCCACACUCUACCUGUAACAACCAAUUGUUUAUCCUCCUGGAAGUGUGCAUAGAAAGAAGGACCCUGGAAAAAGCAAAAAUCCCUUAGCAGCAUUUGUCUGAUUGGACACACCUGGAUCUUAGAACACUGGGUGUUUGGAGAAGCCGCUGUUCAGCCUCAUUCAGCACUGAGCUGUGCUGCCUUUCAGCAGGAUUGCUGCUGCAGCAGAAAGACUCACCAGACUAUUACAACACCAGUCCACACUUCAAGUGAGCCUUUGUACCUGCCCCCAGAGUGUGGAUAAUUCAGAAUCCAGUUCUCCUGCAGCCAGAGCCCCAAGGCUUCUGCCUAGCAACCCCACCUAGUGGACCAACCCCACCUAGAUGUGUGUGAAGCGGUGGAAUUUAGGAAGACUCCCUUGCUAUCACAUCCAAGGUCAAGUUUCUGGAGACAUAUGACCUCUGAGUUGAGUGUGGGACAGUGGCUGCCUGAGUGUGUAUCAGUUGUUCCUACAGCCCUCCACCCAAAUGACCGCAAGUACAGACAACAGCACAGAGCUCCUUGAGAUCACCCUCAGGUCUGGUCUUGGGAUCAACUGGAAUCUUCUUUGAAGUCUUCUCAAAGCAGAAAGCACCAUUCAGAGUUUGGCCUCAGACUCCUUUGUACUGUACCUCACUGGAAAAGGGCACACCACAGACACGUGGGCUCCAGACACACAACUAGCCUCUGGAUGACUCUACAACUGUGCCUCCAACCCUGCAACCUCUGUACCACUAUAAUGUGGUGGCUAAAUCCCUGAGCAAGAAUCUUCAGCUGCCAAACUGGUGGUGGCCAUUACACACCAAGCACCGGAAUCCGGGGACAUGGGCUUUCCAUGUGUCCAAACCAAAACCAGUUCUCACAGAGAAGGACUUAAGGACUGGUCCAGAGACCCAGAGAUUGAUGAGAGGGUGUAGAGAGCUCCAAAAGAAGUGAGAAGACAUGGGGACCUUAAGGAUAGGGAGAGGGCAUUGUGACCCCCAAGGGAGUAAAGAAUAUGAAGACCCCAUAUGAGGGGAAACUGAUGUGAGGAGUCCAGGGAAAGGCAGAGAAGUGUAGAAGCUUCAACCUCACCCAUAAGAACAGCCCUUCAGAGUACCUGAACCCUACCCCAGGAAGGCCACACCUAUUAGCAUUGUUACCAUGGCAGUUAAGCCUCAGCUGGAAUUUUGGAAGAGACCCAUAUUCAAAGCAAAGUAGAAAACAAGGCCACUUCCUAACAUUUCACACUGGACCUGUGCACUGAGAAUCUGGGCAUUGGGCAUAGAACUUGUGAGUCCUGCCAUGGGCCACCAGGUUACGAAUGUGCACUGAAGAGGAGAUUCAGUCCACCCUUAGGGAUACCCUAAAGAGCUAGGCUAAAGGAAAGGCCGCUUUGUGGUCACAAUGGAAGAGCCCAGCCCAGGAUGGAAGCCAGAAAGCUGAAUGUCUCCUGCAGCCUCUGUGCCAGGACUCUACUUCAAAUGUGCUGAACUGAGAGUUGGGAGCUCUGUAACUGGUGGAGGAGGGAGGUGCUAAGAGGACACAUCGAAAAGCCAAUGACACCUGAGUGUGGCCACCACGCCUUGUGACCUGGGCUUCCAAUUCCAGGCAAAGGAGGUAUGUGCUGAGGACACACAAACUCUAACCCUUCAUCCCAUUGAGGGGCUGCAUAGAACCUGACCCUGCUCCUGGAAACAAGAGGCUCCUUGUGCACCUCCUCAGUGUGCUGGUGAGCCAUGUCAGGCAGGGGCCCCAGCCUGGCUAGCAAUGCACGCUCUGCUAGCUGCAGGAAUCUCCCCGGUAAAGCCGCACAUCUCUAUUUCACACAGAUUGUUUUUUCUUGAUUAAAAACUGAUUUUCUGCUGUGCUCUCA
Mastomys coucha (southern multimammate mouse) is the source of this 2055-nucleotide long non-coding RNA. RefSeq lists it as uncharacterized. The record is from RefSeq and is a predicted model, not a curated record. Lineage: Eukaryota; Metazoa; Chordata; Mammalia; Rodentia; Muridae. The transcript has 2 exons.